ACCUGUUUAGCUCAACUGGUAGAGCGCUCCACUGGAAAUGGAGAGGUCCCUGUUUCGAUAACAUGACCAGGCG
This 73-nucleotide transfer RNA is filed under the name Ixodes scapularis (black-legged tick). It matches the Rfam family "tRNA". From Rfam's summary of the family: Transfer RNA (tRNA) molecules are approximately 80 nucleotides in length. Their secondary structure includes four short double-helical elements and three loops (D, anti-codon, and T loops). The record is from Rfam by way of RNAcentral. Lineage: Eukaryota; Metazoa; Arthropoda; Arachnida; Ixodida; Ixodidae.